This 77-nucleotide transfer RNA is filed under the name Nitrospiraceae bacterium. RNAcentral describes it as "tRNA-Pro". It matches the Rfam family "tRNA". Rfam says of the family: Transfer RNA (tRNA) molecules are approximately 80 nucleotides in length. Their secondary structure includes four short double-helical elements and three loops (D, anti-codon, and T loops). Further hydrogen bonds mediate the characteristic L-shaped molecular structure. tRNAs have two regions of fundamental functional importance: the anti-codon, which is responsible for specific mRNA codon recognition, and the 3' end, to which the tRNAs corresponding amino acid is attached (by aminoacyl-tRNA synthetases). tRNAs cope with the degeneracy of the genetic code in two manners: having more than one tRNA (with a specific anti-codon) for a particular amino acid; and 'wobble' base-pairing, i.e. permitting non-standard base-pairing at the 3rd anti-codon position. RNAcentral also lists the same sequence under 1 other name. The record is from RNAcentral. Lineage: Bacteria; Pseudomonadati; Nitrospirota; Nitrospiria; Nitrospirales; Nitrospiraceae.
CGGGGCGUAGCGCAGUCUGGUAGCGCACUGCGUUCGGGACGCAGGAGUCGGAGGUUCAAAUCCUCUCGCCCCGACCA